Molecule: ribosomal RNA, 485 nt
Filed under: uncultured bacterium
Lineage: Bacteria
Description: partial 16S ribosomal RNA
Rfam family: Bacterial small subunit ribosomal RNA
Source: RNAcentral
UUGCACGCUGGCGGCAUGCCUUACACAUGCAAGUCGCACGACAGCACGGGUGCUUGCACCUGGUGGCGAGUGGCGAACGGGUGAGUAAUACAUCGGAACAUGUCCUGUAGUGGGGGAUAGCCCGGCGAAAGCCGGAUUAAUACCGCAUACGAUCUACGGAUGAAAGCGGGGGACCUUCGGGCCUCGCGCUAUAGGGUUGGCCGAUGGCUGAUUAGCUAGUUGGUGGGGUAAAGGCCUACCAAGGCGACGAUCAGUAGCUGGUCUGAGAGGACGACCAGCCACACUGGGACUGAGACACGGCCCAGACUCCUACGGGAGGCAGCAGUGGGGAAUUUUGGACAAUGGGCGAAAGCCUGAUCCAGCAAUGCCGCGUGUGUGAAGAAGGCCUUCGGGUUGUAAAGCACUUUUGUCCGGAAAGAAAUCCUUGGCCCUAAUACGGUCGGGGGAUGACGGUACCGGAAGAAUAAGCACCGGCUAACUACGUG